Hibiscus syriacus is the source of this 294-nucleotide long non-coding RNA. RefSeq lists it as uncharacterized. NCBI's taxonomy places the organism in Eukaryota, Viridiplantae, Streptophyta, Magnoliopsida, Malvales, Malvaceae. The transcript has 3 exons. The record is from RefSeq and is a predicted model, not a curated record.
UUUCUCUAGGGACUCGCAACUUGUAAAAUCUAAUCAGGAUGCAAUGAGAAACAUAUUAAUCGUAUUUGCCAAGUUAAAUCCGGGCAUAAGAUAUGUUCAAGGAAUGAAUGAAAUCUUGGCACCUCUAUUUUAUGUAUUCAAGAAUGACCCUGAUGCAGAAAUGGCGAUUACAGCUUUUGAAAAACAAUAUGGUAAUGUUCAUUUAUCAUUAUUGUUAUCAACUUGGCGGACAUAUAUAUAUAUUAUAUGCACCAAAUAUGGAGUAUCUAUGCCAACAUAUAGCCAUAAACCAAU